ACUAAGCAUAUCAAUAAGCGGAGGAAAAGAAACUAACAAGGAUUCCCCUAGUAACUGCGAGUGAAGCGGGAAAAGCUCAAAUUUAAAAUCUGGCAGUCUCUGGCUGUCCGAGUUGUAAUCUAGAGAAGUAAUGCCCGUGCUGGACCGUGUAUAAGUCUCCUGGGAUGGGGCGUCAUAGAGGGUGAGAAUCCCGUCUUUGACACGGACUACCAGUGCAUUGUGGUAUGCUCUCAAAGAGUCGAGUUGUUUGGGAAUGCAGCUCAAAAUGGGUGGUAAAUUCCAUCUAAAGCUAAAUAUUGGCGAGAGACCGAUAGCGAACAAGUACCGUGAGGGAAAGAUGAAAAGAACUUUGGAAAGAGAGUUAAACAGUACGUGAAAUUGCUGAAAGGGAAACGCUUGAAGUCAGUCGCGUUGGCCGGGAAUCAGCCUUGCUUUUGCAUGGUGUACUUUCUGGUUGACGGGUCAGCAUCAAUUUUGACCGCUGGAAAAAGGCCUGGGGAAUGUGGCAGCUUCGGCUGUGUUAUAGCCCCUAGUUGCAUACAGUGGUUGGGAUUGAGGAACUCAGCACGCCGCAAGGCCGGGUUUCGACCACGUUCGUGCUUAGGAUGCUGGCAUAAUGGCUUUAAGCGACCCGUCUUGAAACACGGACCAAGGAGUCUAACAUGCCUGCGAGUAUUUGGGUGGAAAACUCAAGUGCGUAAUGAAAGUGAAAGUUGAGAUCCCUGUCGUGGGGAGCAUCGACGCCCGGACCAGAACUUUUGGGACGGAUCCGCGGUGGAGCAUGUAUGUUGGGACCCGAAAGAUGGUGAACUAUGCCUGAAUAGGGUGAAGCCAGAGGAAACUCUGGUGGAGGCUCGUAGCGAUUCUGACGUGCAAAUCGAUCGUCAAAUUUGGGUAUAGGGGCGAAAGACUAAUCGAACCAUCUAGUAGCUGGUUCCUGCCGAAUUCCCCCUC
RNAcentral lists this ribosomal RNA (954 nucleotides) under Agaricus sp. RNAcentral's name for it is "LSU rRNA". It matches the Rfam family "Eukaryotic large subunit ribosomal RNA", at positions 33 to 974 of the family's 3401-position model. Lineage: Eukaryota; Fungi; Basidiomycota; Agaricomycetes; Agaricales; Agaricaceae. The record is from RNAcentral.